Molecule: ribosomal RNA, 119 nt
Filed under: Pteropus alecto (black flying fox)
Lineage: Eukaryota; Metazoa; Chordata; Mammalia; Chiroptera; Pteropodidae
Source: RNAcentral
GUCUACGGCCAUGCCACCCUGAACAAGCUCGAUCCUGUCUGAUCUCGGAUGCUAAGCAUGGGCGGGCCUGGUUAGUACCUGGAUGAGAGACCACAUAGGAAGACUAGGGGCUAUAGGUG